This 217-nucleotide long non-coding RNA is filed under the name Elaeis guineensis (African oil palm). RNAcentral describes it as "long non-coding RNA (EGUI_LNC010910)". The record is from RNAcentral. Lineage: Eukaryota; Viridiplantae; Streptophyta; Magnoliopsida; Arecales; Arecaceae.
GUGCAGAUAGGUUUUUACGUCAUCUCAAUCGAAGAGGAAGCGGUCAAAGGAAGCUUGGCGAUGGGCUACAAUUUUGUGGCGUCUAACUCUUCGUUGGCCCGUUCGUAUCUCUCUAUCGUGCCGAAGUCAAAGAAGAAAAAAAUACUAUCUUGGACACGUGGCAAUCAAUGAUUUAAGAAAAAAUACAUAUGUGUAGAACAGAGACUUCGCCUUCGAG